GAAGCUUUACUGUAUCUUGGAAUUGGGUUUGGGCUUUGCUUGCGCAGGAUAGGUGGGAGGCUUUGAAGAUAUUCUUGCGGGAAUAUUGGAGCCAAUGGUGAGAUACCACUCUAGUAAGGCUAAAAUUCUAACUUCGAACCGUUAUCCGGUUGAGGAACAGUUUCAGGUGGGCAGUUUGACUGGGGCGGUCGCCUCCCAAAAGGUAACGGAGGCGUGCAAAGGUUCCCUCAGGAUGGUCGGACAUCAGUCGUAGAGUGCAAAGGCAUAAGGGAGCUUGACUGCGAGACCUACAAGUCGAGCAGAGACGAAAGUCGGCCUUAGUGAUCCGACGGUUCCGA
This 338-nucleotide ribosomal RNA is filed under the name Tintinnidae sp. Its description in RNAcentral is "partial large subunit ribosomal RNA". It matches the Rfam family "Bacterial large subunit ribosomal RNA", at positions 2095 to 2432 of the family's 2925-position model. The record is from RNAcentral. Lineage: Eukaryota; Ciliophora; Spirotrichea; Tintinnida; Tintinnidae.